ACUGGAGUGGCUCAGUGGUUAAGAGCAGUUGCUUCUCUUGCAGAGGACCUGGGUUCAGCUCCCAGCACCCUUA
This 73-nucleotide transfer RNA is filed under the name Mus musculus (house mouse). It matches the Rfam family "tRNA". From Rfam's summary of the family: Transfer RNA (tRNA) molecules are approximately 80 nucleotides in length. Their secondary structure includes four short double-helical elements and three loops (D, anti-codon, and T loops). The record is from Rfam by way of RNAcentral. Lineage: Eukaryota; Metazoa; Chordata; Mammalia; Rodentia; Muridae.